Molecule: long non-coding RNA, 609 nt
Filed under: Pan troglodytes (chimpanzee)
Lineage: Eukaryota; Metazoa; Chordata; Mammalia; Primates; Hominidae
Description: long non-coding RNA NONPTRT004066
Source: RNAcentral
CCCAGUCAAGAAUGUCACUUUCUAACAGGCCCAGGGACCCCAUGUUCUUGGGACCCCAAGAAGAAAGGAGUUUACCCAACUCACAGGCCAUCAAACUUCAAACGAUCAUGCAACAGGAGCCUCAGACGAUGGACCCUUUUGUCAGCAAGCCUUAGCUAGGCCUCUGAGGGAGAUGUGACCGCUGCUUUCCCAAAUCAGCGCCCCCUGUCAGCAGGAAGCAGUUAAGAUCAGUCUUCAUCCUAAUCCUUAUCCUUAUAAUAACGGCAUUAGAUGGGCUUUGUUAGAGGAGGGAAUGAUAGAUGCAGGAGGCAGAUGAGGGAAGGUCGCUGGAAAAUCUCCAACCUGCCCGACAAGUGUUUACAUCAAAUGCUUUUGUGCAGAUGAGAGAACCUGCCCAGGGUCUUGUCUGCGCAUGCCUGCAAUGGACUGGGGACCCGCCUGGGAGAAUGGGGAAAUUUGUGCCUUGUGCAGUGGGGAGGAGCCCUGGCCUCUUCACUUUGUGUGUGGUGGCCUGAUAAUUAAUCUGCGAGGUGGCAGCCUAUUGGGGGACCCCUUUUCACUUUGCUAAGGGUUUUUGUUUUCCUUUUCGCCCAAUAAAUUCCACUGUCC